RNAcentral lists this ribosomal RNA (497 nucleotides) under uncultured bacterium. Its description in RNAcentral is "partial 16S ribosomal RNA". It matches the Rfam family "Bacterial small subunit ribosomal RNA", at positions 28 to 507 of the family's 1533-position model. The record is from RNAcentral.
GAUGAACGCUGGCGGCGUGCCUAAUACAUGCAAGUCGAGCGAACGGACGAGAAGCUUGCUUCUCUGAUGUUAGCGGCGGACGGGUGAGUAACACGUGGAUAACCUACCUAUAAGACUGGGAUAACUUCGGGAAACCGGAGCUAAUACCGGAUAAUAUUUUGAACCGCAUGGUUCAAAAGUGAAAGACGGUCUUGCUGUCACUUAUAGAUGGAUCCGCGCUGCAUUAGCUAGUUGGUAAGGUAACGGCUUACCAAGGCAACGAUGCAUAGCCGACCUGAGAGGGUGAUCGGCCACACUGGAACUGAGACACGGUCCAGACUCCUACGGGAGGCAGCAGUAGGGAAUCUUCCGCAAUGGGCGAAAGCCUGACGGAGCAACGCCGCGUGAGUGAUGAAGGCCUUCGGAUCGUAAAAUUCUGUUAUUAGGGAAGAACAUAUGUGUAAGUAACUGUGCACAUCUUGACGGUACCUAAUCAGAAAGCCACGGCUAACUACGUG